UUUUUCUUUUUAAAAAAUUGUUGAAGUAGUUGUUUACAUAUUCUGGGUUCUAAAUCCUUUGUUAUUUAUAUAGUUUGCAAAUAACUUCUAACACUAUGCACUUGUCUUUUACUUUGCUUAUGGUUUCUUUUGUCAGACACUACAAACAAACUUAAAAAAUUUUCUGAUCAAUAAAUCUAAAUAAACACUGGCCCUGAUGCAUUCCUCAAGGACCAAGCUAAAGAACUUGCAGAUGAAAUUAUCUUACAAUUAGAUAGCUUGGUAUUUCAGUUAUAAAUAGUAUAGAGGAGUCGAAAUCAGAUGUUCCCUGAGAACAUGAAAAUAGAAAUGUUUUCUAAGAAUUCAACUACAAAAUCCAUAUACCUGAGUAGAAAUAUGUAAAACAACUUUAGAGACAGAAAGUCUCUUAGACCAGGAGAUGAACUGAUUAAAUGCAUUAGCAUAUCUAAAGAAAGAAUUGGCCAUUCACUAGGGGAUGAGGGAAAAGUAGAAGAAAAAAAAGUGCUAGAAAAAUGUUGGUAUUGCCCAUCCAACACAGUUCAGGGGAUUGAUCUUGGCCAAUGUAUAUGGAUUAUUAGGAUCCCAUUGUUAAGGCCAUGGCAAGAAUUCUGGUAAGGCUGAAUCCAAUAGGUUUUCUUAUCCCAAUAAUAUUAAGCAUUAUUAAAUAACAAACUGAAAGGCAGCAUAAAAGACUGGUUAAAAGGGUGAAUGAUGCAGGCUGCCUAAGUUAUUUCUGCUGCCAUCACUUACAAUGUAACAUUGGACAAGGCCUAUUUCCUCUACUGAGAAAACAGGAAUAAUAGUAGUACCUAACUCAUAGGGUUGUUAUGAGGACUCAAUGAGUGAAUAAAUGUACCUGGCAAGUAAAAACAUACAAUAUAUGGUAUCCAAAUACCCAAAUGCCAAGGGAAAGGCAGAGAAAAUACAUAAAAUGGAAUGGCUAGAAGCUGAGGGUAAACAUCAGAACUAGGAAGAUAUAUAGUGGAAGUUGAUCUGGAUCAAGUGAGGUGGGGGAAGUAACUCAGAAAGAGUAAUUUUAUUUAGCCUCAGCUUUCACUAAUAAUAGUGAUGUCCAGGACAGGAGAGGUAACAGAUCCACUGUAUUUUAUGCUAAUCAGAACCAUACUCUGAAACUUGAGCAAGUAAGGAGGAGAGUGUGAGGGCACCUGGCAGGAUGCCAGUAGAAGAAAUGUUGGGCCAGGCACAGUGGUUCAUGCUUGUAAUCCCAGCAUUCUGGGAGGCUGAGGCGGGAGGAUUGCUUGAGCUCAGGAGUUCCAGACGAGCCUGGGCAACAUAGCGAAGCAGUCUCCACAAAAUAUUAAAAAAUUAGCUGGGCAUGGUGGCAUGUGCCUAUAGUCCCAGCUACUCAGGAGACUGGGGUGGGAGGAUCACUUGAGCCCAGGAGUUUGAGGCUACAGUGAAUUACGAUCAUGUUACUGCACUCAAGCCUGGGUGACAGAGAUCUUCUCAAAAAAAGAAAAAAAAGAAAAAAAAGAAGAGAUGUUAAUACAUAUCUGAUUCUUGGUUUUUCUCCAUGUAAUAAGAGAUGCCAAACAGGUCACCAUAUUGCAUUCUGAAGUGAGGACAAGGCACCUUCAUCUACACCUGGCUCCAUAGCAUGAACUCAAGCAGGCCCAGUAAUCAUGCAAAUGUGGUAUAUUUUGAAAUUUUGUCCAACAGCAAAUUUCUAAACCAAAAGUUCUUAAUGCCUUCCAUUAAUACUGCUGGCAUAGCUAUUAUAGGCCCUUUGCAGACAGUUCCUUUCUACAUUUCCUGCCUCGUCCUGUGUGCCAUUACGUAUUGAGACUUUCUAGCACCCCGGUGCCCCUCCUCGUGGUCUGCUUUUUCCUUUCCUGUACUCAGCAGCACCUCUCUCUUCCCCAAUUCAGUUUGUCUCUUUGUUUUCCUACUUUCUCUUUUAAUGGCCUUUCUCACAAUUUGGUGCCCUCUUCUCUUGGGUCCUCUAAACUGUCAGAAGAUGAAAUGCUUCAUAUUUGUGUGGAAAUUCAGUUUGUAUUCAGAAGAAAAAUGCUGUUUCCUCUAUAUGAAAAACAACUUUCAGCUGGCUGCAAAGGGAACUGGUGAGGUUUGCAUGCAUGUUCAUAUUCAGUUCCCCUUUGUGGCUAGUGAAACUUGAAAAACACAGGAACACACAGGGUCAGCUCUUGUGGGGACUGACUACAGAGUUCCAAAAAGAUGUGACAAGUAGGGAGAGGAUGCAGCUAACUAAGUGAAUGCGAGUCUCAUGGCCCAGUAGUUUGACAUUUAUGAUCCCGAAAAUAAUGAAACCUUGAGUAAUGAGUACAACCCAGCAUGGUAGGAGGGAAAGCUACCCCACCAUGCUAGACUAAUCAUCUUUCUACAUCCUUUUAAGCUCUGGUAUUGAAGAUGUCAAUGAACUUAUCCAGUUCUCAGGAUCAAACCAGCUAUUGGGAAGCAAGAGCAACAGACUUUUCUUCUGGUUUUACUGAAAAGUUAGAUUAACAUUCUGGAAAGAGAAGGUAAAGGGAGAGGAUUUAUAGAAGAUAAAAAGUACAAAGGAAACACCAUGGAUUAAUGGCAUAUUUUAUAUAUAUACAUAUACUUUUUUUUACAGACAGAGUCCCACUCUGUCACCUAGGCUGAAGUGCACUGUCACAAUCAUAGUUCACUGUAGCCUCAAACUCCUGGGCUUAAGCAAUUUUCCUGCCUCAGCUCCCCAUAUAGUAGGGACCACAGACAAGUGCCACUGCACCCAGCUGGAUUCAUGGCACACUGAAUAUACCUUUUAAUACAAGAAACAACCAAAACAACAUGAUAGCUCCAAGACCAAAGUGGGACACAGUGGGUAUCUCUCACAAAGUAGAAUUUCCUUUUCUUUUAGGAAUAUUACCCAGGAAACUAUGAACUUUGAGAUACACAUACUAUAGCAAUCCCUAAAGAAAGAGCCAAUUCACUGCACUGCAAGGAGAAAAUAUAACAAGUCUAGUUAGAACAUUAAAGUUGCAAGCACAUCUAAAGAAAUGUGUUAAAAACUGCCCCCAAUUCCUGGCCACUCUUCUCAUCCAGAGGUGGAGUCUACUUUCCCAGUUGAAUCUGGGCAGGUAUUAAGACUUGCUUUGACCAAUAAAAUGUGGUAGACAUUGUAUGACAUUUGAAUAAGGCCUUAGGAGACCUUGCAGCUUCCAGUUUUGCCUCUUGGAACCUGAGACCAUCACAUUGUAAAUAAGCCCAGGAUGAAAGAUCACAUGGAGAGAGGGGCACGGCCUGCUCAACUCUUCCAGGUGAUGCUCCAGACACGUGAG
Molecule: long non-coding RNA, 3284 nt
Filed under: Macaca fascicularis (crab-eating macaque)
Lineage: Eukaryota; Metazoa; Chordata; Mammalia; Primates; Cercopithecidae
Description: lncRNA (ENSMFAG00000063292.1)
Source: RNAcentral